UGCAAGUCGAACGAUGAUACCUAGCUUGCUAGGUUGAUUAGUGGCGAACCCCUUUGUAACAUUUAGGAAUCUACCUUUUAGUGGGGGAUAGCUCUGGGAAACUCGAAUUAAUACCGCAUACGACCUACGGGUGAAAGGGGGCGCGAGCUCUUGCUAGGAGAUGAGCCUAAAUCAGAUUAGCUAGUUGGUGGGGUAAAGGCUUACCAAGGCGACGAUCUGUAACUGGUCUGAGAGGAUGAUCAGUCACACCGGAACUGAGACACGGUCCGGACUCCUACGGGAGGCAGCAGUGGGGAAUAUUGGACAAUGGGGGGAACCCUGAUCCAGCCAUGCCGCGUGUGUGAAGAAGGCCUUUUGGCUGUAAAGCACUUUAAGCAGGGAGGAGAGGCUAAUGGUUAAUACCCAUUAGACGAGACGUUACCUGCAGAAUAAGCACCGGCUAACUCUGUGCCAGCAGCCGCGGUAAUACAGAGGGUGCGAGCGUUAAUCGGAAUUACUGGGCGUAAAGCGAGUGUAGGUGGCUCAUUAAGUCACAUGUGAAAUCCCCGGGCUCAACCUGGGAACUGCAUGUGAUACUGGUGGUGCUAGAAUAUGUGAGAGGGAAGUAGAAUUCCAGGUGUAGCGGUGAAAUGCGUAGAGAUCUGGAGGAAUACCGAUGGCGAAGGCAGCUUCCUGGCAUAAUAUUGACACUGAGAUUCGAAAGC
RNAcentral lists this ribosomal RNA (704 nucleotides) under uncultured bacterium. Its description in RNAcentral is "bacterial SSU rRNA". It matches the Rfam family "Bacterial small subunit ribosomal RNA", at positions 56 to 760 of the family's 1533-position model. The record is from RNAcentral.